UACGGAGGUUCCAAGCGUUGUUCGGAAUUACUGGGCGUAAAGGGAGCGCAGGCGGAUAGGUCAGUUUGAAGUGGAAUCCCGGGGCUCAACCUCGGAAUUGCUUUGAAUACUGCCUGUCUUGAGUUCGUGAGAGGAAAGUGGAAUUCAGGGUGUAGCGGUGAAAUGCUUAGAUAUCCUGAGGAACACCAGUGGCGAAAGCGACUUUCUGGCACGUAACUGACGCUGAGGCUCGAAAGCGUGGGUAGCGAAC
This 250-nucleotide ribosomal RNA is filed under the name uncultured bacterium. RNAcentral's name for it is "partial 16S ribosomal RNA". It matches the Rfam family "Bacterial small subunit ribosomal RNA", at positions 524 to 773 of the family's 1533-position model. The record is from RNAcentral.